GAUGAACGCUGGCGGCGUGCCUAAUACAUGCAAGUCGAGCGAACAGACGAGGAGCUUGCUCCUCUGACGUUAGCGGCGGACGGGUGAGUAACACGUGGAUAACCUACCUAUAAGACUGGGAUAACUUCGGGAAACCGGAGCUAAUACCGUAUAAUAUAUUGAACCGCAUGGUUCAAUAGUGAAAGACGGUUUUGCUGUCACUUAUAGAUGGAUCCGCGCCGCAUUAGCUAGUUGGUAAGGUAACGGCUUACCAAGGCAACGAUGCGUAGCCGACCUGAGAGGGUGGUCGGCCACACUGGAACUGAGACACGGUCCAGACUCCUACGGGAGGCAGCAGUAGGGAAUCUUCCGCAAUGGGCGAAAGCCUGACGGAGCAACGCCGCGUGAGUGAUGAAGGUCUUCGGAUCGUAAAACUCUGUUAUUAGGGAAGAACAAAUGUGUAAGUAACUAUGCACGUCUUGACGGUACCUAAUCAGAAAGCCACGGCUAACUACGUG
This 497-nucleotide ribosomal RNA is filed under the name uncultured bacterium. Its description in RNAcentral is "partial 16S ribosomal RNA". It matches the Rfam family "Bacterial small subunit ribosomal RNA", at positions 28 to 507 of the family's 1533-position model. The record is from RNAcentral.